GGGACGUAGGGAUGGGGGCGGAAGCCCGCUGGGCUUCACACUUUAUUUUGCGGUUCGGUGAAGAAGGGUGGGAUGCUCUCCCUGCCUGGUGCCUUCGCUCUCGAGGAGUCGCUUCGUCAUGAGGAAUCUAAAGUUGCUUCGGACCCUGGAGUUCAGGGACAUUCAGGCUCCCGGGAAACCUCAGUGCUUCUCUCUCCGAGGUGAACAGGGAACAGUGCUCAUUGGCUCGGAACAUGGACUGGUAGAGGUAGACGCUGUCACGAGAGAGAUGAAAAGUGUUUUGGUGAAAGGUGAAAGAUGGAAUUCCUUUGGUAGCUGAAGGCUUCCUCCCAGAGGUUGGAAGUGGCUGCAUCGUUCGUAUCCAGUACUUGCUGAAUCAAGAGUCUGUGUGUGUGGCCACAGCCUCUGGCGCUGUCAUACUUUGCAAUUUCAACACACAGCAGAAGUUUCCAGGCCAGGGGUUGAAUUGGAGCUGCAGCUGCGGGCCUGUGUUGGAGCCAUAGCAACCCCAGAUCUCAGCCCUAUCAGAAACCUAAGUUGCAGCUUGUGGCACUGUUGGAUCCUUAACCCACUGAGCAAGGCCAGGGGUUGAACCUGAAUCCUUAUGGACACUCUGUUGGGUUCUCAACCUGCCGAGUCACAACGGGAACUCGUAUGAACAUUUUAAAAUGUCUCUCUCGGCUGGAAUGUGUUGGAAAUGUUGCUAUUGGCAUCUCUGUCAUGAAUCGGAAUCCUGACCAAGAACUGGUGCUUUUUGCCACAGUUCAGCUCUGGACUGUUGGAAACUAUCACUGGUAUCUCAAGCAAAGCCUGCACUUCAGCUCCUGUGGGAAGAGCAAGAUUGUGUCUCUGAUGUGGGACCCGGUGGCCCCAUACCGGCUGCAUGUUCUCUGUCAAGGCUGGCAUUACCUCUGCUAUGAGUGGCACUGGACGACUGACCGGAGUUCGGGAGAUAAUCUGAGCGACAUGGCCAACGUGGCUGUGGUGGAUGGAAUUUCUGACAGCCAGGCUUCGAGGAAUGAAGAGUGAAGAAUGGAAGGAAAACAGUCUUCCUUGCCAGAGCCCUUCUAACUCGGGUGAGAGUCACUCUAGAAGGCUUAGUUUCCACUGGGUUCU
Molecule: long non-coding RNA, 1116 nt
Organism: Phacochoerus africanus (Common warthog)
Lineage: Eukaryota; Metazoa; Chordata; Mammalia; Artiodactyla; Suidae
Exons: 6
Source: RefSeq, a predicted model, not a curated record